This 795-nucleotide long non-coding RNA is filed under the name Eurytemora carolleeae. RNAcentral's name for it is "uncharacterized LOC111712952". The record is from RNAcentral. Lineage: Eukaryota; Metazoa; Arthropoda; Copepoda; Calanoida; Temoridae.
AUAAACCCACUGUGAACAGCUGAUUUUACAGAAAUAGUGUGCACAACAUCUAUGAUAACCCUAAUUCCUACAGGAAGAUUGAUUGAUUAUCUUAAUUUAUACACGUAUAUACAGCUGUAUGAUUAGUAAAUCUGAGUCAGGCUACUUAGACAGGGCGUACCGCGCCGACAAUUUAUCCUAUAGUUGAUCCAUGAGUACAGUACACCACAGAAACAUGAUGAAGAAGGGGUCAAAUAGUCUAAGAUUGGUGAAAGCCGGCAUUGAGAUCCCUAUGGAUAACUGCGAGUGAAGAGGAGCUCAGUGGGGGGACUUUGUUGCUUGUGAUGGAGAUCAAAUAGCUGUUGGAGCUUGUGGUUCAGGACAAGAUUGAUACUGCCUAGAUAGCUAUUUCACCGCAAUCCAGUGCUGUACUUUUGAGGGAUUCUACUUUGGAGGAUGUGAGAUUGCAUCCAGCAGUGAUUAUGGAGUUCCAGUUUCUUGUGUUGGGCUAAAUGGACAGAACCAUCUUGUAGAGUCUCUGUGCGGAUCAGGAGAAGGACUUGAUUGCAAUGGACAUAGCCAUGAAGCCAAAUGCUGUGUUGGGCAUGUUGAAGGAAAGGUUGUUGGUACUACUGGGUCUUGUGACUGGAAGUAUACAAGUGUUUGGAGUGAGGAAAUAUCUUGUGGAAGAGCCGAUGAAGCUGUCAUGGGAAUCUGUGGAUCUGGAGAAAACAAGGAUUGCCCUGGAGAAUCUGUUCAUGGAAUUUACUGCUGUGAGCUGGUGGAAAUUGCAUAAAGUUAUCAAAUCUAUUUCAA